RNAcentral lists this microRNA precursor (72 nucleotides) under Solanum tuberosum (potato). Its description in RNAcentral is "miR395c stem-loop (stu-MIR395c)". Its record names the gene stu-MIR395c. The record is from miRBase by way of RNAcentral. Lineage: Eukaryota; Viridiplantae; Streptophyta; Magnoliopsida; Solanales; Solanaceae.
GUUCCCUUGACCACUUCAUGAGGGCUUAAUUACUUCAUUUUUGAUGUCCUGCUGAAGUGUUUGGGGGAACUC